UUCCAGCUCCAAUAGCGUAUAUUAAAGUUGUUGCUGUUAAAAAGCUCGUAGUUGAACUUCUGGCUAUUCUUCCAGCUGGCUUCGGUCGCUGUAAGAGUGGUCAUCCGCUUGGGAACUACGUUCGAACUUCACUGUUCGGCGUAAAGAACAGGCAUUUUACUUAGAAAAAAUUAGAGUGUUCAAGGCAGGCUAUCGCCCUGAAUACACAAGCUUGGAAUAAUGAAAUAGGACUAUUUCCAUUUUAUUGGUUAUUGGAAUUAGUAAUGAUUAAUAGGGACAGUUGGGGACAUUAGUAUUUAAUUGUCAGAGGUGAAAUUCUUGGAUUUAUUAAAGACUAACUUAUGCGAAAGCAUUUGUCAAGGAUGUUUUCAUUA
Molecule: ribosomal RNA, 374 nt
Rfam family: Eukaryotic small subunit ribosomal RNA